This 497-nucleotide ribosomal RNA is filed under the name uncultured bacterium. RNAcentral's name for it is "partial 16S ribosomal RNA". It matches the Rfam family "Bacterial small subunit ribosomal RNA", at positions 28 to 507 of the family's 1533-position model. The record is from RNAcentral.
GAUGAACGCUGGCGGCGUGCCUAAUACAUGCAAGUCGAGCGAACAGAUGAGGAGCUUGCUCCUCUGACGUUAGCGGCGGACGGGUGAGUAACACGUGGAUAACCUACCUAUAAGACUGGGAUAACUUCGGGAAACCGGAGCUAAUACCGGAUCAUAUAUUGAACCGCAUGGUUCAAUAGUGAAAGACGGUUUUGCUGUCACUUAUAGAUGGAUCCGCGCCGCCUUAGCUAGUUGGUAAGGUAACGGCUUACCAAGGCAACGAUGCGUAGCCGACCUGAGAGGGUGAUCCGCCACACUGGAACUGAGACACGGUCCAGACUCCUAAGGGAGGCAACAGUAGGGAAACUUCCGCAAUGGGCGAAAGCCUGACGGAGCAACGCCGCGUGAGUGAUGAAGGUCUUCGGAUCGUAAAACUCUGUUAUUAGGGAAGAACAAAUGUGUAAGUAACUAUGCACGUCUUGACGGUACCUAAUCAGAAAGCCACGGCUAACUACGUG